Molecule: long non-coding RNA, 7576 nt
Filed under: Homo sapiens (human)
Lineage: Eukaryota; Metazoa; Chordata; Mammalia; Primates; Hominidae
Description: HSALNT0175607
Source: RNAcentral
CAAAGGAACGGGUCGCACUCGCUCUCAGGAAGGCCAUUCAGACUCCAUUCUCAUCUGAAGACAAGGGUGGCCACACCAGUCUGGAGUGAAAUCAGUUUCUAGGAGGCAGGGAAAGGAGGAGCUGAUCAGUACACAGGAAGAAGGCAAAGGGCAACAGAAGGAGUCAGCCACAAACCUGGAAGGUGGGGAGGAAAGACCAGAAAUCACUAUGAAAUAGACAAACCCAGGACAGAACUUGGAGUUAAAUAUCCCACUGUACAAAGAACAAAAAGCCCUACUGUGAGAGGGGAAAAAAAUAGAAAAGCCUCUAGGCCUUUUAUAAGCCUUCUCACAGGCUGUCCACACCCAUGGAAGGACGUGGUGGGAAGGGACAAUCCCUAGUGAAAACACCUGCUCUGCAGGUCCCACAGCAACACCGCUCCUGAAGACAGGCUGCAGGAGCUGCUUUCUGGUUCUCGAUCUUCAUGAACUCCCUGCUGCCUUUCUUUUAGAAAACAGAAGGACACAAUGAAAAGCCUAUGGAAAAAGUUCAGGGGUCAUAUUAUGGCUGCUCCACCUUAUGAGCUAUGUAGUCUUGGGCAAGUUCCUUAACUUCAUUGCUCUUUCCCCGUCUGUAAAAUGAGGAUACUAUGAUCUUAGAGCAAGCAGCUGGCACAUUACUAGGAAAUAUAAACACACUGUCUACCCUCCUGUUCAGAGACCUCUCUCCCUUGGGUGACAUGGAGGAAGAGGAGAGUCCAGACCUAGGCAACAAUCAGUCUUGACUUUGUUAGGGAACAUGGAAUACACUACAAAAAAAGCAGCUUAACAACUGCUCAGCAAUUUAGCAGGUUAAAGAUAGGGUUAGUCAACCAAAAACAACAUAUUAAUUAGUCUGCUCCUCUUUGAGGAGUUACGUCCUGAAAAAUGAUUCAUAUACCUUCUGAAGUCCUGGAAUUAGGAAUAGAAAGGGGCACCACAAAUUUGCAUAUCAUCUUUCAUCCAAGGAUAUGGAAAAAUAACAACUCUUAUAUCUUUUUAAAAUUUCAACAUCUAUUUCAAUCAGAUUGUUCAGAGCCAAACCAAAAUUUAAAGUUCACAUACAAAAAAGUCAAGGGCUAGACUCCAAGUGCCAGAAAAAAGAGGGGAAAAAAAAAAUCAACCAACCACCUGUCUAUGAGAGGUUGUUCAUCUCACUGUUGCUUAUCUUUCAAGAUGAAGUUGAAUGCUCAAUGCUGUAAUAAGCUGACUUUUAGAUCCCCUGGUCACAUGGAAGGAGGAGGAAUAAGAAGAGACACACUGAAACAAAUAUAAAAGGAAGGCACAGCUCUGGGUACUGGCAUGGUAUUAUGUGCCAAGUCUUAAAAAUGUUUAUACCUGUUAUUUCAGUACUCCAACUUAUAUGAGUUGGUAAUAAAGAGAAAAUUUAAAUGAGAAAAAUAUUAAAUAAGGUUAGUCACACUGUUAGCUACAGCAAAAUAACAUAAACCUCCAACAUUGUGAAAAUGUUAAAUAUUUGAGAGUAUGGCCACAAUCUCAUAUUGAAAAUUAGAUUUACAAAGAGAUUUUAAUGCUGUGGAAUGAUGCUUAUAAUUUUCUAACUGGGUACAAAACUGGAUAAUAUAGUCUGAACUAUGUAAAACUAUGUCUGAGUAUGUGAACGUGCCACAAGGUUAUCAGCAAUAAUAUUAAAAGUUCAUUAGUUUUAUGUUUUCUGUAUUUUAUAGGUUUUUUUUUAACAAUGCAUGCUAUAUUUUAUUCAGAAAAAUAUUUUAAAAGUCACUGGCUGGGCGCAGUGGCUCAUGCCUGUAAUCCCAGCACUUUGGGAGGCCAAGGCAAGUGGAUCGCUUGAGUCCAGGAGUUCAAGACCAGCCUGGGUGACAUGGCAAAACUCCAUCUCUACAAAAAAUAUAAAAGUUAUCUUGGCGUGUUGGUGUACACCUAUAGUCCCAGCUACUCAGAAGGCUGAGGCGGAAGGAUCACUUGAGCCUGGGAGGCAGAGGUUGCAGUGAGCUAAGAUCGCACCACUGCGCUCCAGCCUGGGCGACAGAGCAACACACAAUCUCAACAACAAAAAAAAAUUGUUUGUUUUAAAGUCACAAAAGUCUUAAUAGUCCCAAUAACCAGAUUGAUAUGCUCACUACUAUUAAACGUGAUUCAGGCCGGGUGCAGUGGCUCACGCCUGUAAUCCUAGCACUUUGGGAGGCCGAGGCGGGUGGAUCACCUGAGGUCAGGAGACCAGCAUGGCCAACAUGGUGAAACCUCGUCUCUACUAAAAAUACAAAAAUUAGCCGGGCGUGGUGGCAGGCACCUAUAAUCCCAGCUACUCGGGAGGCUGAGGCAGGAGAAUCGCUUGAACCCAGGAGGCGGAGGCUGCAGUGAGCUGAGAUCGCGCCACUGCACUCCAGCCUGGGGGACAAGAAUGAGAAACAAACAAAAAACAACAACAACAAAAACGUUUUUUGUUUGUUUUGAUUCAGGCCGGGCGCAGUGGCUCACGCCUGUAAUCCCAGCUUAGGCGGGCAAAUCACCUGAGGUCAGGAGUUCAAGGCAUUCUGGCCAACAUGGCAAAACCCCAUCUCUACUAAUAAUACAAAAAUUAGCUAGGCGCUGUGGCAUGUGCCUGUAAUCCCAGCUACUCAGGAGGCUGAGGCAGGAGAAUUGCUUGAAUCCAGGAGGCGGAGGUUGCAGUGAGCCGAGAUCAUGCCACUGCACCCCAGGCUGGGAGAUAGAGCAAGACUCCGUCUCAAAAAAAAAAAAAAACCAGUGAUUCAGUGGUAAGUCUAUCACUUUUAACAAAUUUUCAAGAAAAUGAAUAGUCUAAAUUUUAGCAUCGCUAUCCUCUAAGGUUCUCCAGGCUUUAUAGUUAAUGAUAAGUGGCUACCUUCUUUUACAAAGAGAAGCUAGGUCCACUAUUAGCUGUGUGAACUUGGCCCUGUUAUUCAACAUUCUCUUUGACUGAGUUUCUUUGUCUGUAAAAUGUGCAUAACACUGUAUCUGUCUCAAAGGAUGUUGUAAGGAUUCAAUGAUAUGUGUAUAAGGUGUUUAGUACAUUGUCUGGUACAACACAACACUCAAAAGUGUGUUAACUAUCAUCAUUUAAGACCCAACCACUCAGCAACAGAGAAAACUCUGCAGAUCCAAAUCCCAAUUCAGAGUUUCAUUUACAUUGAAAAGGAUACAGAAAGUAAAGCCCAACAUCCAUGAAAAUCAGUAAGAAUUCAGAAGACAGACUCCAGAUCCAAGACAGAGAUGUACCCAACUUAGAAGCAUGCUUCCUGAGUAAGGGGAGUCACCUGGGGUGCUCAGGUAUGCUGGGAGAAGUGGUAAUACGACAAGACAGAGAUUGGGGACAGAAUCUACAGGAUAAGAACAAACGGAGAGCUCAUCCACGUACUGCAGCCAGAAACCAAUAGAACUAUAAGGAGAUAAAGAAUCCACAGGCUACUGAAAGUUUUAGAAAGCUCAGUGUGUCCAAGGACAAUCAUAGGGGGAAAGAAGAGGAAUUUGAAAUCCCAAGCUAAUUUCCUCUUGAGGAGCCAAAUCCAGAGUCCCCAAGAACCACUCGUUUACUUACAUUUCAGUGCAGCAGCCUCUUAGGCCACUCUUAAUUCAGCCCAACGGAAAGUCCAAUAAUCAAUGCUAAAAUGCCCAGCAACACAACUACUAGCACAAUGAUAAUUAUCAAUUUCUGGAGAGAGGAAUAAGACAAAAACAAAUCAUUAUUACAAACAACCAAAAAAAUAACAACUCAUCCAAAACCUAACCCCUGUCACCUCUACAUAGAAAAUAUCUUACCAGUCUGAGUAAGAGGCCUACAUCUCUACAUACAGACAUCCUUCUAGGAUACUUCAUUUAUUUUUAAGACAGGGUUUUUCUCUAUCACUCAGGCUAGAGUGCAGUGGCAUGAUCAUGGCUCACUGCAGCCUCGACCUCCUGGGCUCAAGUGAUCCUCCUGCCUCAGCCUCCUGAGUACAUAGGACUACAGGCAUGCACCACCAUGCUCAGCUCAUUUUCUUUAUUUUUGUAGAGACAGGAUCUUCCCAUGUUCCCCAGUCUGGUCUCAAAUUCCUGGGCUCAAGCAAUCCUCUCACCUCGGCCUCCCAAAGUUCUGGGAUUAUAGGUGUGAACCACCACACCCAGCCUAGGACAGUUUAAAUUUCUUAAAUUACUUCUAGGCUAGGAAUGCCAGCAGAGGGAAAUAUGGGGCCUCUCUCAGCUCUCAGCUCACACUGCAGUUCUGUAUAUGUGGACAGAUAGAAUCAGAGCCACUAUCGUGGGGUCUCUAAGGAGCAGUUGGCCAAGAUAAAAAGUCACUGACUGAUUUUUUCCAUUUUAAGAGGGAAUGUAAAGGCAUUUUUGAUAGAGUUCUAAUUUCCUACUUUUGCCCAUACUCCUACCUGUCAGACCCAGUACACUGCCUGGAUAUCAGAAAAUGCCACCCAGCCUGGAUUCACCAUGUAAAAUAACUUCCCAGUCCCCUAAAUCCCUGCAUAAGCAAUAGGUAAAGUUGGAUGAAAAACAAAGAACUAAACAACAACAAUAUCAGAGCCCAAGAGAACCAGUCAAAGGAGAGAAGUCUAAAAAGCAGACGCCACCAGAGCUGGAUAACCACAGUCGUGAGCACAGAAGCCUAGAAGUCCUUAAGCGGCAGGGGCACCAGAGGGUGGGCAAAUACAGUGGUGUGGUAGAAACAGAAUGAUUGGGAUCUGAACUUGAAUCCCAGUGCCUCUACUUACUAGGUGGCCUGAAGCCAGUUACUGAGCCCCUGACCCUCAACUGUCUCAUUUAUAAAGUAGAAAUAACAGGUGCUCCAUCAGAUAUGACAUAAUGUAUAGAUAGCAGUUAGCAUGAGCUAGGUACAAGGUAGAGAAAAAGAGAAGGGAGGCGGAGCUUGGGCGCCUGGAGUGGAAGACAAUGAAGAGAAGGUUUCUGAACAGAGGAGUCAAGUGUAACAUCUGAAAGCCUCAUGAGCUAAGUCCAGGAGAAGAUUAGCAGCACCACCUGGGCCAUGCAUCCAUCCUACAGAACUGCCUUUCAAGUGUGGGUUUUUGGGGAGAUAGCUUGUGAGCCAGAUCCAUGCAAGGCACACCUGGGAAGGAAGGGCAGGCAGCUUGUCUCUAGGAAAAGCUGAGGGAGGGGUUGAUGAGGCUACGACAGGGAGGGAGGCAUGGGCUCAAGAACACAGGUAGGGGUGGCCAGGGAGAAGAGAUACUAGUAAGACAGCUGAGACGAAGGACAGUUGAGAUGAAGGUGCUCACCCUCCGGGCUUCACUCUGAUACUUGACAGCCUUUUUGGUAUCUGCCACGGCCCGCUCCACAAAGCCCACUGACUGGUCCAUGUUGUUCUCAAUACGGUCAAUCAUGGAUCCCUUUCCCCAGAUGCAAGAGGUGGUGGCAGCAGAAACAGAGACAGGGAGAGGGAAGAGAAAGAGCGAGACACAGCAAACAAAAUGGACUCUCUUCUCUGAAGGCCACAGGAGAGUCUCACCUUCCGGGCCUGACUCUGGUAUUUCACAGCUUUUUUCGUUUCAUCUCGUGCCUUCUCCACGUGGUCCACUGUGUGCAUGACAUUCAACUCUAUGUUAUCUAACAUCUCACCCUGCAAAGAACAGACUCUGAUCACACCAAGUAAACGUCUCAGGUCAGUCCUAGCCAAUGCGGGGAAGGGAUUCUCUUUCUUACAAUCUUCAGUGGCAAGAAGAGCAUCCACAAACCUUGAUGCAUGGCCUUCCAUAGGACACCCAUUCACAGUCCUUGGUGGUGGGGUGGCAGUCACUUGUUCAAGAAACAUUCAGUGAAUUUUACUACUUCUCUGUGACCAGCACUCCACCAGGCAUCCAGAACAUACUAUCUAGAUACCUAGUAACUACCUAUAAAUAUACUCUGAGAUAUCCCCAGACAACCUUUGUUAUUUUUUUUACACUUAAGCACAUGGAGAGGAACCAAAAUAAGGAUAUCUCAUUGUUAUUAGGACAUCACUAGGAUGCUGGCCUCUUCCUGGUCAUUCAGACCUGAAUCAACAUCAUUCAGCCUGAAUUGAGUAUAUUCACUAACUGCAGAAGAGUGCCUGGCACACAGUAGGUGCUCAAUAACUAUCUGAGGUGGGGAACAUUUGCUUUCUCUAAGUUAUUUCCAGGCCCUUUAACUGACAGACAUUGGGUUUACCCAAGCUAUUUGGUUAUAUUUUCCCUUCCAGACAGUGGUCUCUUGAUAAGCUUCCCAACCAUUUCCUAGCAAUCACUUCCUGACAGGGAAGUUUGAUCAUUCCAAUUAAUCUUAGGCAUUUUAGGAAUUCUCCUCAACUACCCAACCCAACUCUAUCACUUUAUGGCAGUCUGUAAACAGAACAAGGCAGUGUGGGGGAAAAGAAGAGGUGGGAUGGAGGGACUUGAGAAAUGGUCUCAGAGGCCAGUAGGGAAUGGGGGGAAAGCAUCCAGGCCCUCGGCAGGGAACCAAUGUCAAAAACUAGUCAAGCUGUGCUCGAGCUUCAACUAGGUUGUGCAGUCUGCCUACUAUGGAAGCAAUUUUCUCUCCUAUCCCAAGUGUCAGAGCAGCUGGAAGUUCAUGGCAACAGUGCACAGCACCAUGACCCUGUGGCACACUUAACUGUCCCAUAAGAACUAGGAACCAUCUAACUAUGCGAAACUAGCGCCCUAUGCAGGCAAUCCAGAAUUCUAUCCCGAGCAAGCAUGCCUGGGACAAAGUAAGCUGUCAAACUAGCACCACGAGUGUUUCGAGUCUUUCUGUCAAUGCUAUUUUGCUACUCCUUCAUUCAUGUUGUUGUCUGCUCUGUGCCUUAGCAAAAGGUGCCAAAAUUAAAAAAAAAUACAAACAGAAAAAAAAUGGAAAAAAAUAAAAAUUUAUGUUAAACCUGAGUCUUCCCUGUGAACUAGAGAAAAGAUCACAUUUUCAAUGUCAUCAGUGAACUAGUCCAUAUCAGGAGGCUGUUUUAAAACGUCACCAUUAGGAGCCCGGAUCUCUGAUUUUUAAGAAAGAAAAAAAGACAAAUCCUGGGAGGAUUGCUUGAUCCUGGGAGGUCAAGCUGCAGUGAGCUGUGAUCACGCCACUGCACUCCAGCCUGUGCAACAGAGCAAUACUCCAUCUUAAAAAAAAAAAAAAAAUCAAAAAUCCAGGAAAACUGGGUACUUGACAGAACACAUCAAACCCUGUAUCAACUAGCAACGACUGCAAGGCCAAAGGGACAGGCAAGAAUGACAAGGUUAAGAUCACCCAAAGUGUCAACAUUCAAUUUGAAUGCACACUUUCCCAUGGGAUUCUGUUUCUCCUUUAUGCAAAUUCCCAAUGGUUCUCCCACCCUACCUCACUGGCUUCCAGUAUUCCCUUUCUCCCUGUUCUCAGUAGACCCUGAGCUUUCCUCUCCUCCCUCCCCACGCUGGGACUCACUGCCACUUACCUGAUUCUCCACCAGCAUGGCGAUGUCCAUAAACAUGUCGUGAAGCUCCUUGAUGCUGCUCUCCAGCCUCACAAUGUCCUUGUGUCGUCCCUCAAUCUCACUGAGGGCUUGCUUGGAAAUCUGUGAGUCAAUGAUCUACAACAGGCCACACACAGACUGUUAGCUACCCCUGCAAGAAAG